Molecule: ribosomal RNA, 253 nt
Filed under: uncultured bacterium
Lineage: Bacteria
Description: partial 16S ribosomal RNA
Rfam family: Bacterial small subunit ribosomal RNA
Source: RNAcentral
GGCAGAGGUGCCGAGCGUUAGGCGGAAUCACUGGGCUUAAAGCGUGUGUAGGCGGAUCGUUAAGUACCUUGUGAAAUCCCACGGCUUAACCGUGGAACUGCUGGGUAUACUGGCGAUCUUGAGCCACCUAGGGGCAACCGGAACAAAUGGUGGAGCGGUGAAAUGCGUAGAUAUCAUUUGGAACACCAAUGGUGAAAACAGGUUGCUGGGGGUGUGCUGACGCUGAGACACGAAAGCCAGGGGAGCGAACGGG